This 472-nucleotide ribosomal RNA is filed under the name uncultured bacterium. RNAcentral describes it as "bacterial SSU rRNA". It matches the Rfam family "Bacterial small subunit ribosomal RNA", at positions 355 to 825 of the family's 1533-position model. The record is from RNAcentral.
UCGCGAAUAUUCCGCAAUGGGCGAAAGCCUGACGGAGCGACGCCGCGUGUGGGAUGAAGGCCUUCGGGUUGUAAACCACUGUCACGCGUUAUGAACACCGGGGAGACAAUAUCAAUCCGGAUGACAAAGGCGCGAGAGGAAGCCACGGCUAACUCUGUGCCAGCAGCCGCGGUAAGACAGAGGUGGCAAGCGUUGCUCGGAAUUACUGGGCGUAAAGGGCUCGUAGGCGGCCAACUAAGUCAGACGUGAAAUCCCUCGGCUUAACCGGGGAACUGCGUCUGAUACUGGAUGGCUUGAGGUUGGGAGAGGGAUGCGGAAUUCCAGGUGUAGCGGUGAAAUGCGUAGAUAUCUGGAGGAACACCGGUGGCGAAGGCGGCAUCCUGGACCGGUAUUGACGCUGAGUGAGCGAAAGCCAGGGGAGCAAACGGGAUUAGAUACCCACGUAGUCCCUGAGCGGGCUGGCAAGGCGCAU